UACGUAGGAGGCGAGCGUUGUCCGGAAUCGCUGGGUGUAAAGCGCGUGUAGGCGGCCUGCCAAGUCUGCUGUGAAAGCGCCUGGCUUAACCGGGCGAGGUCGGUGGAAACUGGCGGGCUGGAGGACGGUAGAGGGAAGUGGAAUUCCCGGUGUAGUGGUGAAAUGCGUAGAUAUCGGGAGGAACACCAGUGGCGAAGGCGACUUCCUGGCCUGUUCUUGACGCUGAGGCGCGAAAGCUAGGGGAGCAAACGGG
RNAcentral lists this ribosomal RNA (253 nucleotides) under uncultured bacterium. RNAcentral's name for it is "partial 16S ribosomal RNA". It matches the Rfam family "Bacterial small subunit ribosomal RNA", at positions 524 to 776 of the family's 1533-position model. The record is from RNAcentral.